This 159-nucleotide non-coding RNA is filed under the name Lysobacter sp. RNAcentral describes it as "FMN sequence". It matches the Rfam family "FMN riboswitch aptamer (RFN element)". Rfam says of the family: The RFN element is a highly conserved domain that is found frequently in the 5'-untranslated regions of prokaryotic mRNAs that encode for flavin mononucleotide (FMN) biosynthesis and transport proteins. This element is a metabolite-dependent riboswitch that directly binds FMN in the absence of proteins. RNAcentral also lists the same sequence under 1 other name. Lineage: Bacteria; Pseudomonadati; Pseudomonadota; Gammaproteobacteria; Lysobacterales; Lysobacteraceae. The record is from RNAcentral.
UAACGUCUUCAGGGCGGGGUGAGAUUCCCCACCGGCGGUAGGCGCAGGGCCGAAGGGUCUCCGCGCGAGCCCGCGAGCGCCUCCGGCCGCACCGGAGGGUCAGCAGAUCCGGUCCGACGCCGGAGCCGACGGUCACAGUCCGGAUGAAAGAAGACGGCU